Molecule: ribosomal RNA, 362 nt
Filed under: Ochromonas sp. CCMP1393
Lineage: Eukaryota; Chrysophyceae; Chromulinales; Chromulinaceae
Description: partial Bacterial large subunit ribosomal RNA
Rfam family: Bacterial large subunit ribosomal RNA
Source: RNAcentral
AAAGGUGAAAAGCACCCCGUGAGGGGAGUGAAAUAGUUCCUGAAACCGUGUGCUUACAAGCAGUCAUGGCACCUUACGUGUGUUAUGGCGUGCCUCUUGAAGCAUGAUCCUGCGACUUACUGACUGUGCCAAGUUUAAGGCGAUAGCCGGAGGCGAAGCGAAAGCGAGUCUGAAUAGGGCGUUCAGGCGCAGUUAGUAGACCCGAAACCAGAUGAGCUAGCCAUGGCCAGGAUGAAGCUUCCGUAACAGGAAGUGGAGGUCCGAACCCGUUGACGUUGAAAAGUCUUGGGAUGAGCUGUGGUUAGGAGUGAAAAGCUAACCGAAUCUGGAGAUAGCUGGUUCUCCCCGAAAUAGCUUUAGGG